AGUAAGAUAAUGAAUUAUCUUGAUAAGAUAAAACACCAAUAAGGGAUAUUACUA
This 54-nucleotide transfer RNA is filed under the name Spinibdella lignicola. RNAcentral describes it as "tRNA-Ile". Lineage: Eukaryota; Metazoa; Arthropoda; Arachnida; Trombidiformes; Bdellidae. The record is from RNAcentral.